UGCAAGUCGAGCGGAGUGAUGGUGCUUGCACUAUCACUUAGCGGCGGACGGGUGAGUAAUGCUUAGGAAUCUGCCUAUUAGUGGGGGACAACAUUUCGAAAGGAAUGCUAAUACCGCAUACGUCCUACGGGAGAAAGCAGGGGAUCUUCGGACCUUGCGCUAAUAGAUGAGCCUAAGUCGGAUUAGCUAGUUGGUGGGGUAAAGGCCUACCAAGGCGACGAUCUGUAGCGGGUCUGAGAGGAUGAUCCGCCACACUGGGACUGAGACACGGCCCAGACUCCUACGGGAGGCAGCAGUGGGGAAUAUUGGACAAUGGGCGCAAGCCUGAUCCAGCCAUGCCGCGUGUGUGAAGAAGGCCUUAUGGUUGUAAAGCACUUUAAGCGAGGAGGAGGCUACUGAAGUUAAUACCUUCAGAUAGUGGACGUUACUCGCAGAAUAAGCACCGGCUAACUCUGUGCCAGCAGCCGCGGUAAUACAGAGGGUGCAAGCGUUAAUCGGAUUUACUGGGCGUAAAGCGCGCGUAGGCGGCUAAUUAAGUCAAAUGUGAAAUCCCCGAGCUUAACUUGGGAAUUGCAUUCGAUACUGGUUAGCUAGAGUGUGGGAGAGGAUGGUAGAAUUCCAGGUGUAGCGGUGAAAUGCGUAGAGAUCUGGAGGAAUACCGAUGGCGAAGGCAGCCAUCUGGCCUAACACUGACGCUGAGGUGCGAAAGCAUGGGGAGCAAACAGGAUUAGAUACCCUGGUAGUCCAUGCCGUAAACGAUGUCUACUAGCCGUUGGGGCCUUUGAGGCUUUAGUGGCGCAGCUAACGCGAUAAGUAGACCGCCUGGGGAGUACGGUCGCAAGACUAAAACUCAAAUGAAUUGACGGGGGCCCGCACAAGCGGUGGAGCAUGUGGUUUAAUUCGAUGCAACGCGAAGAACCUUACCUGGCCUUGACAUAGUAAGAACUUUCCAGAGAUGGAUUGGUGCCUUCGGGAACUUACAUACAGGUGCUGCAUGGCUGUCGUCAGCUCGUGUCGUGAGAUGUUGGGUUAAGUCCCGCAACGAGCGCAACCCUUUUCCUUAUUUGCCAGCGAGUAAUGUCGGGAACUUUAAGGAUACUGCCAGUGACAAACUGGAGGAAGGCGGGGACGACGUCAAGUCAUCAUGGCCCUUACGGCCAGGGCUAC
Molecule: ribosomal RNA, 1167 nt
Filed under: Acinetobacter calcoaceticus
Lineage: Bacteria; Pseudomonadati; Pseudomonadota; Gammaproteobacteria; Moraxellales; Moraxellaceae
Description: bacterial SSU rRNA
Rfam family: Bacterial small subunit ribosomal RNA
Source: RNAcentral